RNAcentral lists this ribosomal RNA (495 nucleotides) under uncultured bacterium. RNAcentral's name for it is "partial 16S ribosomal RNA". It matches the Rfam family "Bacterial small subunit ribosomal RNA", at positions 28 to 507 of the family's 1533-position model. The record is from RNAcentral.
GACGAACGCUGGCGGCGUGCCUAAUACAUGCAAGUAGAACGCUGAAGGAGGAGCUUGCUCUUCUGGAUGAGUUGCGAACGGGUGAGUAACGCGUAGGUAACCUGCCUGGUAGCGGGGGAUAACUAUUGGAAACGAUAGCUAAUACCGCAUAACAGUAGAUGUUGCAUGACAUUUACUUAAAAGGUGCAAUUGCAUCACUACCAGAUGGACCUGCGUUGUAUUAGCUAGUUGGUGGGGUAACGGCUCACCAAGGCGACGAUACAUAGCCGACCUGAGAGGGUGUUCGGCCACAAUGGGACGGAGACACAGCCCAGACUCCUACAGGAGGCAGCAGUAGGGAAGCUUCGGCAAUGGACGGAAGUCUGACCGAGCAACGGCGAGUGAGUGAAGAAGGUUUUCGGAUCGUAAAGCUCUGCUGUAAGAGAAGAACGAGUGUGAGAGUGGAAAGUUCACACUGUGACGGUAUCUUACCAGAAAGGGACGGCUAACUACGUG